UGGUGUGUGCAAUACAUGACUUGUGCUGUCAAGGCUCGCGUAGCUUCCCGUUAGGCCUCGCGUUCGGGUUCCGUCUAGGUGGAACGUACUGGCGUGUGUUGCUUCGGAAUAAUAUGAACGCCUGUGCAAGAUGGACGUGUUCCAGCAGCGUGUAUGUGAAUUGUCUUAGGAAAAUUACCCAUAUUUUUGGGCUCUGCAAUUUUAUCUCGGUGGCAGUCGGAAUAUUUUUCAUCGCCUCACAACUACUGGGAGCAGGAGUAUGCAAUGCAGCUCCAUUUACUAAUGUCGACGUUCCAGGUUCCCAGGUAGAAAGCUACCCUCCUGUAGUAUGGGACGAAGUUGACCCCUACCUCCAAUAAUAAAAAUUAGCGUGAGAAACUUCACCUGAAUCUUUUUUUUUGCUUGCGCCUAUCGUUAUAAAGGCCAUACAAAAAAACGAAAGGUACAUAAACGUUAAAGUAAGCACAUAUCGGCUGUUGAUGUUGGCGUAUUUAGGGAGCUUAUUGCAAUAUCCUUAACAGCUGCAGUGAAGCAGACCAAAUUCGUGCGUACACGAAGAAUAACAAUUCGUGCAUCCCUGUAUAAGCUAGUUGUCAGAAACAAAUUGCCG
Dermacentor andersoni is the source of this 610-nucleotide long non-coding RNA. RefSeq lists it as uncharacterized. The record is from RefSeq and is a predicted model, not a curated record. Lineage: Eukaryota; Metazoa; Arthropoda; Arachnida; Ixodida; Ixodidae.